GAGAGUGGGUAGUCGCACGAGCGCACCCUACCUUAUUGCCAUCGGGUUAUGCCGGGCACUUUAGGGGGACUGCCGGUGACAAGCCGGAGGAGGGUGGGGAUGACGUCAAGUCCUCAUGGCCUUUAUGACCAGGCUACACACGUGUUACAAUGGGGCGUACAAAGGGUUGCAACCCCGCGAGGGUGAGCUAAUCCCAUAAAACGUUUCGUAGUCCGGAUCGCAGUCUGCAACUCGACUGCGUGAAGUCGGAAUCGCUAGUAAUCGUGAAUCAGAAUGUCACGGUGAAUACGUUCCCGGGCCUUGUACACACGCCGUCACACCAUGGAGUGGUGCAAAGAGUGGUAGCAUACUUGAGUGCGCUCACACUUGUGAUCAUGACUGGGUGAGUCGUACAGUACCGUAGACUGCGCUGAUCACUCU
RNAcentral lists this ribosomal RNA (420 nucleotides) under uncultured Gammaproteobacteria bacterium. RNAcentral describes it as "bacterial SSU rRNA". It matches the Rfam family "Bacterial small subunit ribosomal RNA", at positions 1069 to 1533 of the family's 1533-position model. Lineage: Bacteria; Pseudomonadati; Pseudomonadota; Gammaproteobacteria. The record is from RNAcentral.